This 253-nucleotide ribosomal RNA is filed under the name uncultured bacterium. RNAcentral describes it as "partial 16S ribosomal RNA". It matches the Rfam family "Bacterial small subunit ribosomal RNA", at positions 524 to 776 of the family's 1533-position model. The record is from RNAcentral.
UACGUAGGUGGCAAGCGUUGUCCGGAUUUACUGGGCGUAAAGAGCGCGCAGGCGGUCGUUCAAGUCGCGUGUGAAAGCCCCCGGCUCAACUGGGGAGGGUCACGCGAUACUGAUCGACUCGAAGGCAGGAGAGGGAAGUGGAAUUCCCGGUGUAGAGGUGAAAUUCGUAGAUAUCGGGAGGAACACCUGUGGCGAAGGCGGCCACCUGGACGACAACUGACGCUGAGACGCGAAAGCGUGGGUAGCAAACAGG